AUCUGGCAGCUUCGCUGUCCGAGUUGUAGUCUCGAGAAGUGUUUUCCGCGCUGGACCAUGUAUGAGUCUGUUGGAAUACAGCGUCAUAGAGGGUGAGAACCCCGUUCAUGACAUGCCUUCCAGUGCUUUGUGAUACACUUUCGAUGAGUCGAGUUGUUUGGGAAUGCAGCUCAAAAUGGGUGGUAAAUUCCAUCUAAAGCUAAAUAUUGGGGAGAGACCGAUAGCAAACAAGUACCGUGAGGGAAAGAUGAAAAGCACUUUGGAAAGAGAGUUAACAGUACGUGAAAUUGUCGAAAGGGAAACGCUUGAAGUCAGACGUGCGUAGUGCCUUCGGGUGCUGUUGCAGGCCAGCAUCAGUUUUUCGAGCCGGAUAAAGGUGGGAGGAAGGUAGCAGUCUCGGCUGUGUUAUAGCCUCCCACUGAAUACGGAUUGUGAGACUGAGGAAUGCGAUUCUAGGAUGCUGGUGAAAUGGCUUUAAACGAC
Molecule: ribosomal RNA, 483 nt
Filed under: Sakaguchia oryzae
Lineage: Eukaryota; Fungi; Basidiomycota; Cystobasidiomycetes; Sakaguchiales; Sakaguchiaceae
Description: partial large subunit ribosomal RNA
Rfam family: Eukaryotic large subunit ribosomal RNA
Source: RNAcentral